ACAUCAGAUUCCCUGAUGUAACGAAUUUUUAAGUGCUUCUUGCGAAAGCAAGCUUCAUCCCGGUCAUUCCAUGACCGGGAUU
This 82-nucleotide non-coding RNA is filed under the name uncultured Phytobacter sp. Its description in RNAcentral is "DsrA RNA". It matches the Rfam family "DsrA RNA". Rfam says of the family: DsrA RNA regulates both transcription, by overcoming transcriptional silencing by the nucleoid-associated H-NS protein, and translation, by promoting efficient translation of the stress sigma factor, RpoS. These two activities of DsrA can be separated by mutation: the first of three stem-loops of the 85 nucleotide RNA is necessary for RpoS translation but not for anti-H-NS action, while the second stem-loop is essential for antisilencing and less critical for RpoS translation. Lineage: Bacteria; Pseudomonadati; Pseudomonadota; Gammaproteobacteria; Enterobacterales; Enterobacteriaceae. The record is from RNAcentral.